UUCCUACGGGGCGCAGCAGUGAGGAAUAUUGGUCAAUGGCCGAGAGGCUGAACCAGCCAAGUCGCGUGAGGGAAGAAUGUCCUAUGGAUUCUAAACCUCUUUUGUCAGGGAGCAAAGUCACCCACGUGUGGGUGUUGGAGAGUACCUGAAGAAAAAGCAUUGGCUAACUCCGUGCCAGCAGCCGCGGUAAUACGGAGGAUGCGGGCGUUAUCCGGAUUUAUUGGGUUUAAAGGGUGCGCAGGCGGUCUGUUAAGUCAGCGGUCAAAGCCCGGGGCUCAACCCCGGCCCGCCGUUGAAACUGGCAG
Molecule: ribosomal RNA, 305 nt
Filed under: uncultured bacterium
Lineage: Bacteria
Description: bacterial SSU rRNA
Rfam family: Bacterial small subunit ribosomal RNA
Source: RNAcentral